RNAcentral lists this unclassified non-coding RNA (219 nucleotides) under uncultured Tomentella. Its description in RNAcentral is "sequence contains ITS2". The record is from RNAcentral. RNAcentral also lists the same sequence under 1 other name. Lineage: Eukaryota; Fungi; Basidiomycota; Agaricomycetes; Thelephorales; Thelephoraceae.
ACACCUCAACUCUCAUGGCUUGCCAUGACGAGCUUGGACUUUGGGGGGUCUUGCUGGCCUAUGGUCGGCUCCUCUUAAAUUGAUCAGCUUGCCAGUGUUUGGUGGCAUCACAGGUGUGAUAACUAUCUACGCUUGUGGUUUUCCACCAGGUAACCUUCAGUGAUGGAGGUUCGCUGGAGCUCAUAAAUGUCUCUCCUCAGCGAGGACAGCUUUUUGAAC